UAAAGAAUAAAAAAAAGAAAAUCAUCUCUAAUAUUUGAGUUUUAAUUAUAAGAAUAUGUAAAUUAUUUUAAAAUAGAAAAUAUAAUCGGGUUAUUGAUCGGGUAAAUGGGUCAAGAAUUUUAACCCAAACCCGACACGGAAAAAAAUCGUGUUGACCCGGACCCGACCCAUUUAAUAAUCGUGUUAAAUUUGACGACCCAUACCCAUUUAUUU
This 213-nucleotide long non-coding RNA is filed under the name Citrus maxima (pomelo). Its description in RNAcentral is "long non-coding RNA (CMAX_LNC001782)". Lineage: Eukaryota; Viridiplantae; Streptophyta; Magnoliopsida; Sapindales; Rutaceae. The record is from RNAcentral.